This 637-nucleotide ribosomal RNA is filed under the name uncultured bacterium. RNAcentral describes it as "bacterial SSU rRNA". It matches the Rfam family "Bacterial small subunit ribosomal RNA", at positions 60 to 687 of the family's 1533-position model. The record is from RNAcentral.
AGUCGAGGGGCAGCGGGGGAGUGGCAACACUUCCGCCGGCGACCGGCGCACGGGUGAGUAACACGUAUGAAACCUGCCCGCAGCAGGGGGAUAAGCGGAAGAAAUUCCGUCUAAUACCGCGUAACAACCGACGGGGGCAUCCCUGUUGGUUCAAAGGAGCGAUCCGGCUGCGGAUGGUCAUGCGGCGCAUUAGCUAGUUGGCGGGGCAACGGCCCACCAAGGCGACGAUGCGUAGGGGUUCUGAGAGGAAGGUCCCCCACACUGGUACUGAGACACGGACCAGACUCCUACGGGAGGCAGCAGUGAGGAAUAUUGGUCAAUGGCCGAGAGGCUGAACCAGCCAAGUCGCGUGAGGGAUGACGGCCCUACGGGUUGUAAACCUCUUUUGCCGGGGAGCAAAGAGCGGGACGCGUCCCGCCUCGAGAGUACCCGGAGAAAAAGCAUCGGCUAACUCCGUGCCAGCAGCCGCGGUAAUACGGAGGAUGCGAGCGUUAUCCGGAUUUAUUGGGUUUAAAGGGUGCGCAGGCGGAAGCGCAAGUCAGCGGUAAAAUUGAGAGGCUCAACCUCUUCCCGCCGUUGAAACUGCGUUUCUUGAGUGGGCGAGAAGUACGCGGAAUGCGUGGUGUAGCGGUGAAAU